RNAcentral lists this ribosomal RNA (1017 nucleotides) under Triticum aestivum (bread wheat). RNAcentral describes it as "partial small subunit ribosomal RNA". The record is from RNAcentral. Lineage: Eukaryota; Viridiplantae; Streptophyta; Magnoliopsida; Poales; Poaceae.
AUGGAAGCAGAGUUCUCUGAGUUUUCGAUCUUCGAUUUUCAUCAAAUAUUAGAGGCCACAAGUAACUUUUCUGAAGAAAAUAAACUUGGCAAAGGUGGAUUUGGCCCUGUUUAUAAGGGCCACUUUCCCGAUGGAACUGAAAUUGCAGUAAAGAGACUUGAUUCACAUUCCGGACAAGGUUUGAUGGAGUUCAAAAAUGAAGUUGAGCUCAUAGCCAAACUUCAACACAUGAAUUUGGUUAGGCUCUUGGGAUGCUGCUCUCAAGCAGAGGAGAAAAUAUUGGUCUAUGAAUACUUGCCAAACAAAAGCUUGGACUUCUUCAUCUUUGAUAAUAAUAGAAAAGCUUUAAUUGAUUUGAACAAACGUCUUGAAAUAAUUGAAGGAAUAGCAGGACUUCUUUACCUACAUAUGCACUCUCGGUUGUGUGUCAUACAUCGAGACCUUAAACCAAGCAACAUUCUCUUGGACAACGAAAUGAAUCCUAAAAUUUCAGACUUUGGACUAGCAAAAAUAUUUAGCUCUAAUGCCGAAGGAAUCAUUACAAGAAGAGUGGCUGGUACAUAUGGCUAGAUGGCUCCCGAGUAUGCUUCACAGGGCAUCUUUUCCAUCAAAUCCGACGUAUUCAGCUUUGGUGUUUUAACUCUCGAGAUCCUUAGUGGCAAAAGGAAUUCUGGAAGCCAUCAACGUGGAGAUUUCAUCUAUCCCCUUGGAUAUGCUUGGAAAUUAUGGAAAGAGGGAAGAUGGAUCGAACUUGUUGAAACCUCAUUGCUUCCCAAUUGUCAUUUGACAGUAACGAUGAGGUGUGUUAACAUUGCACUGUUGUGUGUACAAGAGAAUGCAAUGGAUCGUCCAACCAUGUUGGAUGUUGUUGCAAUGCUAAGUAGCAUGACGAUGAAUCUACAUGAGCCUAAGCAUCCAGCGUAUUUCAAUUUAAUGGUAGGCAACGAAGAGUCAUCUACAACUACUCUACCAUGCAGUGUUAAUGAUGUAACCAUAUCUGCCACAACUCCUAGGUAG